CGACAUCGUAUAUAGUACAACUAGGGACCAGAUUUUCAUAAAGUUGCCUAACAAAAUUAACGCUGGCCCCAGGGCGUGGAGAGACGAACUGGCGCUCGAAAAUCCUAGCGGCGAGGUUGUUGCUCGUGAACAUCAGGGCCAUUAGCUCAAGCUGAGCGCCGGAUCCGAGACAGGGAAGGGGCCGACGUCGCUUUGCUCGCCGGCAUCGCACCAAUGGUUUAAGCCUCUCUAUUGAGCAUUUCUCUCUCCUCGGUGUCUCACUCUGUAGCUCCAAUGCCGG
This 280-nucleotide unclassified non-coding RNA is filed under the name Hevea brasiliensis (rubber tree). The record is from RNAcentral. Lineage: Eukaryota; Viridiplantae; Streptophyta; Magnoliopsida; Malpighiales; Euphorbiaceae.